This 3679-nucleotide long non-coding RNA is filed under the name Homo sapiens (human). RNAcentral's name for it is "non-protein coding lnc-WWOX-4:9". The record is from RNAcentral. Lineage: Eukaryota; Metazoa; Chordata; Mammalia; Primates; Hominidae.
AAUCAGGGCCCAAUCAGCUGACUGUCAGCUGGGACGGGCUGGCUUAACCCUUCCUGCGCCGCUGCCUACCCGGGAGGGAACGAGGCCCGGCGCAAAGUUUGGUGUAAGAGGGGAAGGAGUUUUUCCAGAGGGGCUUCGGCAAUCCGGGCGGACCUGGGAGGGCGGUUUGCUUUUCUUUGGAGCGCGAGACAGGCCUCCCAUCCGGAGCCCCAGCUCGCUGGGGGCUCACUCGGCUGGGAUUGGCCUGAUUCCCCUCCCCUGCCUGCCCUCCACCCCCAGGAUUGUGAAUUCGCCUCCCAGCUUUUCCUCCUCGCACCAACUCUGGUACCCAGGUGUCUGCCGGGGACCUUCCUUCCCUGAGCCUGGCCGUGCCCGGCGCUCAAACUUGGCCCCAACUCUUUGUCCGUCUCUCGGGCGCCCGUGCGGGGAAGGGACCGGGAAGGGAGGGAUGCAGUGGGGUGUCCGGAUCGGGGCUGCGGGCUGGGCGCCGCCCGGCCAUGCGCCUGCCCAGAAGGCUGGGCAUCCGUGGAGAGGGAAAGCCCAUUUUAUCCCUCUCUUUACAACGAGGUAAAAUAAGUUGUUUAGAGGCCAUUCUUCACGGAGACCGGCUGCCCGCUGGCGUCGCGUGCCCUUGGACAGAGCGAGCGCCUAUGCGAGAUAACUCCGGGGAAGCUCAAAGUCAGGUCAGCCGGGCUCAGCCUUCCGGCUCCUGACUGGCCGGAGUUUGGCCUUUGAGACUCAUAUUGCGCGCUCGCUCUCUCUCUCUCUUACACACACACACACAAACACACACACACUCACACUCACCCGUCCCCUUACGAAAUCUGACCUCUGUUUAUCAGGGUCAGGCGCGCCCUUUGCACUUUUACGUUUCCUUUAAUUAUUUCGGACUUGAUCGUGGCAGGGAGCAAGGGGGAAAAACAAUACCCCAGCCCUCACCAGCUACCCUCGAAGGGUUAAAUUUUAAACCGCGGUUUCUGGAACUAGUCCGGAAACGCAGAGUGGGGGGUGGGGUGGGGGAGGCUGCUCCCCCCACCCCCAGUUGCAAAUGCUAAUAAGUAGUUCAAAUUUCUAGAUUGAUUCUCUAAAAGUUUAUGCAAAAAAGAAAUAAAAAAGAAAAAGAAAAAAGAAGGAAACCAACAACUAACUCUGUUUCUAAGAUUUUAAAGCGAUAGGCAAGUCGAAGAAGCAGAGAUUUAUUUGGAGAGAAAGCUCCUGAAACCGACCCAGCCUUUGGAAGACCAGCCCGUCUGCUUAGAAGUUGGGACUGUUGAUUCCUUCAAUUAAUGAAAUGCAUUUGGUGUUUUUAAUCGUAUUUAUUUUACUUUAUGAGAAGGGGGAGACGCUAGGAGGGUGCAUUAAAAAAAAAAAAAAAUUCUGAAAAGCCUGCAAAAGGAUCGAAGAGUGGAAACUAUUGUUGGAGCGAGUUGGUUUUUACCUCAACAGCGCCACCUUUCGGCAAAGGUUUCUUUCCAAGGGUAUCAUUUAGAUGGGGGCGUGUGUGUAGGGUGGGGUAGGGGGCAAAGUGAAGAAGGCCCUAGGCUUUCCGUACACUGUUUGGAUUGGAUGAUCUUGACGUGAAAUGUGAAUUCUGGAAAAACCUGUAAUUAGUGAUCUCUGCCUUUGUAGAGAACCAUGAUAACAAGUAAAUUAGCACUGGAAGAAUUUGGGGGUUUAUCAUAUUUUUGUUUCAAUUAUUUGCUUAUUUGUUUUUGUCUCUGCAGGUUUCUUCCUUGGAAAACAAUAUACAUCACUUAAUGAAAUCUUUGUUUGUUUUGCACAAGAGAUGUAAAAAAUCCAGAUGUUUUCUUCAGUGAGAAUUCCUGGGAAGGUGUACCAGCCUUCUUCUCUUUCUUCACCUGACAAAGACACCCAACACGGCCUCUCAGACCGGAGGUGUUUAAUAUAUAGUUUUGACACGCAUGAACAUGGGAAUGAAAGGGCUCCUUUUGGUUUUAGACAAUAGACAGAGCUAUAAAAUGAUGAUGGAGCCUGUUUUCCCCACUCUUGUCAUUUUAAGUCAAUAGAUUUCCUGGGUUUCUUCCCCCGCCCCCCCACUUUGCCUUUUCAGGGGAUAGGCAUCUCCUUAGAUUUUUGUUUUUCUUCACUUAGGGUCAGCUUUAUGAUUCGUUCUUCUGCUGUCAUCCUUUUUCAUCCUAUUCACAGCCUGUACCGGUGAGGGAAUUUGUCUCAAAAGCAUUCAGCCCUUCAAAGAUUUUUAUUGUGGUGAACUCAGAACUGAUAAACAGAAAAACAGAAACAGAAAAAGGGAACUGAUAUGGGGGCGAUCUUGAUGCGGGUUGUGUCUCUCAUGCAUGAUAACUCAGAGGACAGGCUCCUCGGUAGUGCGGUAGUGCUAACUCUGUGAAGUUUCUUCACCCUCCUUCCUAGCCCUGGAGGCGGGGUGAUUCAUAGCUCCUGUUCCAAAGGCAUUCAGCAGCCAUUCGACCUGGGAAAGAAACAGAGUUUUAGAAAAUACAGGCCAAAUGUAGAGACGCCUGUGAUUACCAGGAUGAGUAUGUCAGUGCAGGUGGCUUCUGAAUUUCUGUUUCUGAGUUUGUUUGGCUGAUGCCUAAGGAAAGGGGUCCCUUACAGCCCUGUUUUAUACCUUAGUUCUUGGUGGCAACGUGGGUGUUGCUGAUCUCUCUGAUGUGUUUUUCUGUGCACUGAAAACACCAGACAUGCUCCGUGACAUCCUCGGAGCAUCUCCCAUCAUAAUGGAGUGUUCCUAACCUGACAAAGAAUAGCAUAUUACCUCCCCAUCUACUCAAAAUAAAAUUAUAGUAAAAUUUAUCGCCCUUCUGCUAAUAUUUUUUAUUUAGUAACUUUAUAACAGUGAUACAUACUCCUUAUUAAAUAUAAACAUUUGAACAGGACAGAAAUAGAAGGAUAUUCAAUAAAAGAACUGCUACUCCUCAUCUCCACCCCAGUCCUUAAACCCUGGUCUCGGGGGUUACCAUCUGUAAUAGUUGGGGUAUAUGUGGGUACUUUUUACAGAAUGGCAUCGAAGCAUGUACAUAGUUCUUUAACUUGUGCUCCCUUUAAAACACAUUCAUGUUAACAAUCUCAGAAAGAGAUGUUGGGCACUUCUGUCUUCUUUGGCAGAACUCGCCUAAUGGAACCUCAGACCGGGGGAAGUUUGGAGAUCUGAUCUUAACCUCGUCCUUCCAACCGGUAUAGGAGCUUGAAUCUGCUUUAGAUCACCAACUUCCCUGCCAUUUCCUGACGCCAAUUUUGAAGCCAGGGGGCUCAGAGGCAUUUUCUUCAACAGAAGAGUUCAGAGUUUCAGUGUCCACCUUUGAGCUGCAACUAGUCCCUCAGUGGUGUAAAUAUGCAUGCUGCUGCAGAAUCUCCUGUUCCAGGAUCCCACCUCGACCCCUUUCAGAGAAAUCUGGGAAUGAGAGAAGGAACCGGCCCAGGAGUGAUUUAUGACCUGCUGUCUGUGUCCUGCCUGAGGAAGCAUGGCUCUGGCUGUUUGAAGCAGACCCAGACUGGGAUCCUCAGAGAUUGGAAGGAGUGAUGGGGACCCUUCAGGAAAAUGUCACCGACCGUUGACUCUCAGCUCAGCUCGAAGCUGCUGAUGAGGGGGUAGGCUUGGUUGCUGUCACAGUGAUGUGAGCUCAGGCAGUUGGGGUUGGGGAAGAGGGACCAGCCAGGAGACAAAGCAUCUGAGUUCAGC